CAGACGAAGAGGGGAGAGACAAAUCAGAGGGGAGUAGCGAUGAAGAAGAGGGGAGCGGCGCCGGCGACCGGCGACCAGCGACCAACAACCAGCAAAAUUUCUUUCGAAACACACCCACACAAAACACACAAGUCUGGAUCAAAGUUCUCUUUUGAAGCAAUAUUGCAUCAAAGCAAUACACAUAACACAUCCACUCAGAGACGAAAUUUCUUUUCCCUCUUUCAAUCAAACCUAACGUUUCUCUCCGUGAGCCCUUUUAAUUUGCCAUCGAUCGAAGCAAGCGGCAAGCCCUAAGCCCUAAAUGAUAACGCACGGCUCAGAGAUGAAACCCUAAGUCUGAAGAUUGUGUUUGAAUUUCUCUAACCUCUCUCGCCCUUUGUCUAAUCAGAAGGGAAAGUCUUGUUGGUGUUUGCUGGACCAAUAAGUGAGAAUCUCACGACAUUUUCUGAAGGAGGAGGAAACUCAGCUCUCUGUCUCCUCUCCUGGGCUUUUUGACAUCUAAUCUUCAGGUCAGUUGAUCUUUGCAAUAGUUUCUCUUGCUCUGGUUUUGUUUAUUUCUAUAUGUUGUUUUGUUGGUACUUUUUGGUAGUAGUUUCUUGACUACAUUUUGUUUAUGUUUGGUUUAUAAAUGAUAAUCUUGUUCUUUCCCUUUUAUUAUUAGUAUUCUGAAUUUGAGACUUGUGUGAUGCAGCUACUUGCUUGGAUUUUGUACCAUGGACACUGAGGUGGUUUUUUGACAAGUGCAGAUUGAAACUCAAGUGCUAGAAGGUUUAUCAAUUUUUCAACAAAAGUGUUAGGAAAUUGAUGAUUUUCUUGACAAAUGGAUUUACUUUCUGUUUUGGAACAUUGAUAAAUGUUGAAUUAUUUUGGCACAUUGAUAAAUAAUGAAUUGUAAAAAUGUUUUAACUUUUUUGAUAUAUUUA
Molecule: long non-coding RNA, 923 nt
Organism: Cornus florida
Lineage: Eukaryota; Viridiplantae; Streptophyta; Magnoliopsida; Cornales; Cornaceae
Exons: 3
Source: RefSeq, a predicted model, not a curated record